CGCUCCCGCCAGGCUGGUCUCGAGGUGAGGCGGGUGCGUUCCCCCGUUGCUCCUUCGUCAUGCUCCUGUUUGAACUUUGGUUUGUUUUCAGUUUUGUGUUUCAGUAGCUGCCGCCCUUGUUCUCUUCCCACCUCUGCUAAGCAGGGUGGUGGGCGUGGUCAAGUGGUGACAGGCGACGCCAGGGAAAAUGGGCUUACUUCUUCCUGCUGGAGUCAUGGCUGUCUUGUGCCUGAGGAAGUUAUGCUCUUAGUCAGCAGUCACUUGUGGACCCUCAUUGGCUAAGAUUCCAGCAGGUCAGCUGAGAUUCAUUCUGGAUGAGGACUCAGAGGCAUCCAUUCUGAGGAAACAGGACCAGCUGAGGAACUGACGAGAUGGAAAAGGGGAAGUGCUGUGGGAUGUUGCUCCCAUUGGUUAAUAAAGAAGCUACUUGGCCUAUGGCAAGACAGGUUAUAGCCAGGAGGGAAAUACAAGCAAAGAUACAGGGAGAAGAAAGGUGGAGUUGGAGGAGAUGCUGAGCGCUACCGGGGAGCAAGAUGUAAUGGAACACAGCUGCAUCUUCCUGCCAGAAUAUUCCCGAGCACCAGCCAGGGAUUUAAAAUGAGCUUUCAAUGCAUCAGGGGACCAAGUACUACAGAGGACUUCCACCUACUCCUGUACUUUCCCUCUCACUUCUGUCUUGGAAUUCUGUGUUAUCAGAGCAGUCAGGGCCCCAGCCUGGGCCCCAGCAGCCCUACGAGAGUGGCUCUGACCCCAUCCUCCACAGGCCACUUCCACAAAGACUCAUGAGAUAAGGGAAAGGAGAUUUACUCAAUGUGGUCACUUUGGGAAGAGGAACAAAUAAAGAAAUCUAGUUACACUUCU
This is a long non-coding RNA of Peromyscus eremicus (cactus mouse), 861 nucleotides long. RefSeq lists it as uncharacterized. The record is from RefSeq and is a predicted model, not a curated record. NCBI's taxonomy places the organism in Eukaryota, Metazoa, Chordata, Mammalia, Rodentia, Cricetidae. The transcript is spliced from 5 exons.